This 359-nucleotide long non-coding RNA is filed under the name Brassica napus (rape). RNAcentral's name for it is "long non-coding RNA (BNAP_LNC013167)". The record is from RNAcentral. Lineage: Eukaryota; Viridiplantae; Streptophyta; Magnoliopsida; Brassicales; Brassicaceae.
GUGUUUAAUAUAAUUUUUAAUUUAUAUUAAUAAUAUAAACUUUAAAAUAAUGGAAGAUAUGUAGAUUGUUAUUAAAUCUUUAUUAUUAAAAUUAUUAAUUGUUAAAUAUAUAUUUUAUUCACUUUUGGUAAUUUCGUAGCUUUUAAUUAAGAAAAGAAAAAAAAUAAUAAUUAUAGAUUGUUAAUUAAUUUCAUGAUUAGUUUAAUGAAAAUAUAUUAUAUAUGUUCAGUGGACCAACAUAUUUUUUUAGAGACUUUAAAAAUAUUUUAGUGAUGACACAUAUCAUAGCUAAAAUGUUGUAAUGUUUCACUUUGAAUAUAUAAGGGAUUUCAAAGAAGUUCAACCUAAUUGGUUCUUAC